Molecule: long non-coding RNA, 2140 nt
Filed under: Gallus gallus (chicken)
Lineage: Eukaryota; Metazoa; Chordata; Aves; Galliformes; Phasianidae
Source: RNAcentral
CAAAACAAUGGCUGGGAUGGGAGCGUGUUUUGGGAAGAGCGGCUGAAUCUUGAGCGUUGACCCCAGUCUCGAUCGGGAGAAGAAAGUACAUUCUGUUUUCGCAUUGUUUGCUGGCUUUGAACUUCUGUAUUGCUUGGACAUCACCCAUAACCUUGAGGUGAAGCACUCCCACUGACGCGGGCCUCGCUGACAACCGCCGCCGGCCAGACAGAGCCUCGACGGAGGCAGCGCUGAAAAGCGAAGGGAAGGGAAGCUCUGCCGGUUGUUUGUCUGUUCGUUCGUCCGUCUGUCUGCGGGGAACGCGAGCCGAGAGGAGACGGACGGACGGACGGGCGGCAGGCAGGGAGAGAGGGACGGACGGAGAGCUGACGGGCAAUGAAAGUUUAGCGAGAAAGCUUCCUUUCCCGGUUAAAAAUUAACCGGCAUUCACGGCCAAUCCCAGAGACAGUUAAAGCACGCAGUUUCUCCGCUCGGGGUUUGAUUUCCUAGCCCAAUAAAAUCGCAUCCUCUGUGUUGCUGAGAGAAUGCGGCCAUAAAAAGUGUCCGUGACUCGUCCGCUCGCAGAGGCGGAAUGCACCGCUAUAAAGGCGGCGGCCGCCGUGCCGGGCGGAGCGGGAGGUGAACGGCCGGCGGCCCUCGGCGGGGCCCGGGGCUGCGCGGGGCGGCGCGGCCGCCAGAUGGCGAUCGUCAGAUCAAUGUCAAAGCCGCCGGCCGAGGGGAGCAGCCCGGCGGAAUCUUGGCCUUUGUUCACUUCGCGGCCGCACGCUCAAUUAGCGCGAGGGACCCGGCGGAGGUCGGGCCGCGGGGCUCCGGCGUGGGCAAUGCGCGGAGACAGCGGCCUUUAAAACCGUGCUCCUGGGGAGCUGUUGCAAGCCUAGUUAAAAGCACAUGUUGAGCCGGCAGAGAGCAUUUCUCAGAUGAUUAUCGGAACCUAUCGAUUUCAUCAAAGAUGCUCCAUUAAAAGCUCGGGACCCGAUCUCUCCUGACCUCCCCUCGGAAACGUCGGGCCCUUAAGAAGUCACGUCCCGAGGAGGAGCGGGGCAGUGGCUGAGGGUCCCUUUGCAACGUUUCAUUUUACACCAGCCGAGUUAAACUCAGCAUAUUUGAUCAAAUAUUUAUUUUUCCCCUUGUUGUUUCCCUGCUCCAUUCAAUACUCCGCUGAAUAAAUCAAAGGGACCCCAGCAGCAGUUAAAGCGCCCUCUGGUUACGAAUUGUUUACUGACGGCCGCGGUCAUAGGAUAAUAUUUAAAAAAAACAAGCUCGUUUCUUACAAUAACUGUUUAUUAUUUCACAUGAUUUGGGUUUGCGUGUUUCGGAGGGAAGAGGCGAAGCCAACUCAGUGUCUACACUGUGUUUAAUUAAUCGUGUACUCGACUUCAGUGCGCAUACCACAUCCAAACCCCUGGGAGGCUUUUUCAUGAGCUCUUUGGGUUUGUGUUUUGUUGUCGUCUUCUAUUUGUGUGUGUGUGUGUAUGUCAUAAUCUUCUCAUUAAACGCUCCGAAUCGAAGCGUCGGGCCAACGUGUGCGUUUGUGAGCGCUGCACCGCAAGCAGAUAUCCGUGUGCGCACCCACAUCUUACGGGCAGCUACAAAAAGGGGAGAGGGGAUACAGUUUCAAACGCUCCGUACAGCUGCGCGGCCCAUCUCUCUCACUAAAAAGGCUGCACUUAAAAGAGGCGGAUUUGUAUGUUUACGGUUCUACCGACGGCCGCAUAACCCGAUACCGCUGUUACUUCCGCGCGGUGCUGGGGCUCAGCGGACAAUGGGACCCCCUCGUUCGGAACGGGGCCGGGGAACGGCGAUGGGAUGGAGCCGGAAUGAAUCGGUCGGGACGCGUUUUGUUCCGCCGCACGCCAGAAUUCGGAGCUCGUCAGACUCACUCGCAAAAUAUGUUCCUAAUCCAAACGAGUAAACCGAUCCGCGCAGCCUCCGAAAUAUAUUUAGGAGAACGAGCCCCCGGAUGGCGGAAUAAAAUUAAAUCGCGCCCGAAUUUUUUAGCAGCGUAAUCCGCCACAACAAGCCAAGCCUCCCCCCCCUCCCCUCCGCCCACCCCAACCCUCAGCGUGAAAGUAUUUCUAGGCAAGAUAAAAUUAGUGGGGCCGUCAUUUGUCACCUAACUUGGCACGGCCGCGGUUCCUAA